Molecule: ribosomal RNA, 613 nt
Filed under: Lepisosteus osseus (longnose gar)
Lineage: Eukaryota; Metazoa; Chordata; Actinopteri; Semionotiformes; Lepisosteidae
Description: partial 16S ribosomal RNA
Rfam family: Bacterial large subunit ribosomal RNA
Source: RNAcentral
GCCUGUUUUUACAAAAACAUCGCCUCUUGCAAACACCAAAGUAUUAGAGGUCCCGCCUGCCCUGUGACUUAGUUUAACGGCCGCGGUAUUUUGACCGUGCGAAGGUAGCGUAAUCACUUGUCUUUUAAAUGAAGACCGGUAUGAAUGGCAUCACGAGGGCUCACCUGUCUCCUUUUUCCAGUCAAUGAAAUUGAUCUGCCCGUGCAGAAGCGGACAUACGAACAUAAGACGAGAAGACCCUAUGGAGCUUAAAACACAAGACCAACCACGCCAGUAACCCCAUUGCUCGAAAGACAUAAAAAAUACUAAAGCACAGUGGUCUCUGGUCCUAAUGUUUUCGGUUGGGGCGACCACGGAGAAAAAUAAAACCUCCACGUCGAUUGGAGACAACCUCUAAAACCAAGAGCAACAACUCUAAGUAACAGAAAAUCUGACGAUAAAUGAUCCAGACCUGUCUGAUCAACGAACCAAGUUACCCUAGGGAUAACAGCGCAAUCCUUUCCCAGAGUCCCUAUCGACGAAAGGGUUUACGACCUCGAUGUUGGAUCAGGACAUCCUAAUGGUGCAGCAGCUAUUAAGGGUUCGUUUGUUCAACGAUUAAAGUCCUACGUGA